UGGGGAAUCUUGCGCAAUGGGCGAAAGCCUGACGCAGCCAUGCCGCGUGAAUGAUGAAGGUCUUAGGAUUGUAAAAUUCUUUCACCGGGGACGAUAAUGACGGUACCCGGAGAAGAAGCCCCCGGCUAACUUCGUGCCAGCAGCCGCGGUAAUACGAAGGGGGGCUAGCGUUGCUCGGAAUUACUGGGCGUAAAGGGAGCGUAGGCGGACAUUUAAGUCAGGGGUGAAAUCCCGGGGCUCAACCUCGGAAUUGCCUUUGAUACUGGGUGUCUUGAGUGUGAGAGAGGUAUGUGGAACUCCGAGUGUAGAGGUGAAAUUCGUAGAUAUUCGGAAGAACACCAGUGGCGAAGGCGACAUACUGGCUCAUUACUGACGCUGAGGCUCGAAAGCGUGGGGAGCAAACAGGAUUAGAUACCCUGGUAGUCCACGCCGUAAACGAUGAUUGCUAGUUGUCGGGAUGCAUGCAUUUCGGUGACGCAGCUACGCAUUAAGCAAUCCGCCUGGGGAGUACGGUCGCAAGAUUAAAACUCAAAGGAAUUGACGGGGUCAUAGCUGUUUCCUG
This 562-nucleotide ribosomal RNA is filed under the name uncultured bacterium. RNAcentral's name for it is "partial 16S ribosomal RNA". It matches the Rfam family "Bacterial small subunit ribosomal RNA", at positions 355 to 1376 of the family's 1533-position model. The record is from RNAcentral.